AUGCAUGCAAGUCGAGCGAUGAGACUCCUACGGGAGCACAUCAGCGGCAGACGGGUGAGUAACACGUAGAUGACGUACCCUCACCACGGCGAUAAUGAAUGGAGACAUGCUCUUGCCCUAAUACCGGAUGACCUUAAGAUGUCAGAAUGGUAAGGAAAGCUACGGCGCUUGAGGAGCGGUCUGCGGCCCAUCAGCUAGUUGGUAGGGUAAAGGCCUACCAAGGCGAAGACGGGUAGGGGGUGUGAGAGCACGGCCCCCCACAAUGGGACUGAGACACGGCCCAUACUCCUACGGGCAGGCAGCAGCAGGGAAUAUUGUGCACAAUGGACAGAAAUCUGUGGUGCAGCGACGCCGCGUGAGUGAAGAAGGCCCUUCGGGUUGUAAAACUCUUUUGAGGGGGAAGAGCGAGGACGGUACCCCUGGAAUAAGCGUCGGCUAACUACGCGCCAGCAGCCGCGGUAAGACGUAGGACGCGAGCGUUAUCCGGAUUUACUGGGCGUAAAGCGUCCUGUAGGCGGAUGUGUAAGUUGGGCGUGAAAGCUCCGGGCUAACCCGGGAGAGGCCGUUCAAUACUGCAUAACUUGAGGGUGUCAGAGGGGAGCGGAAUUCCCGGUGUAGCGGUAAAAUGCGCAGAGAUCGGGAGGAACACCAGUGGCGGAGGCGGUUCCCUGGGGCACACCUGACGCUGAGAGACGAAAGCUAGGGGAGCGAACAGGAUUAGAGACCCUGGUAGUCCUAGCCCUAAACGAUGAAUGCUAGGUGUGGGAUCGAAUGGUUCCGUGCCGGAGCGAACGCGAUAAGCAUUCCGCCUGGGGAGUACGGCCGCAAGGUUAAAACUCAAACGAAUUGACGGGGCNCCGCACAAGCAGCGGAGCGUGUGGUUUAAUUCGAUGCUACACGAAGAACCUUACCUGGGUUUGACAUGUAGGUGGUAGUGAAUCGAAAGGUGAACGACCCUUCGGGGAGCCUACACAGGUGCUGCAUAGCUGUCGUCAGCUCGUGCCGUGAGGUGUCGGGUUAAGUCCCGUAACGAGCGCAACCCUUGCUCCUAGUUACAAGUGUCUAGGGGGACUGCCGGCGGAAAGCCGGAGGAAGGUGGGGAUGACGUCAAGUCAGCAUGGCCCUUAUAUCCAGGGCUACACACACGCUACAAUGGUCGGUACAAAGGGCAGCGAAACCGCGAGGCGGAGCGAAUCCGAGAAAAGCCGGUCGUAGUUCGGAUAGCAGGCUGCAACCCGCCUGCUUGAAGCUGGAGUUGCUAGUAACCGCGCGUCAGCCAUAGCGCGGUGAAUACUUCCCGGGGCU
This 1305-nucleotide ribosomal RNA is filed under the name uncultured Chloroflexota bacterium. RNAcentral's name for it is "bacterial SSU rRNA". It matches the Rfam family "Bacterial small subunit ribosomal RNA", at positions 51 to 1381 of the family's 1533-position model. The record is from RNAcentral. Lineage: Bacteria; Bacillati; Chloroflexota.